AGGCAGCUCUUGUGGUGCAUCACAAUCGUUUGAGAAGCGUCACAGUAGAGCAUUUUUCUACAUGCGGAGCGGUGUUUUUAUUUGCAGGUUUCCCUUCAGUAGGAAAUCGCUGGACAGGCGGACCAACGCACCGGAAUUGUACUGGCCAAGCCACAAGCAACUCAAAGAAUCUGUUUAAUUGUUGCACUUUGAACAAUCAUGCUUCUACAAAGGCCACAGCAGAAAAACAGCCUGAUGCCGAGUAUUUAUGUGCUACGAAGUAAUCAAGAGGCGAGUGCCUAAUGCGGACGAAAUCGAGUGCAUCGAGACUUAAAACGACAGAAAGCUGAGCUGGUUGGUAAGGAUUCAUUAUGCAAAACAGAGGUGAGGCGUGCAGACAGGACACAAGAGUAGAGAAGUGGACGGCGCUCGUGUUGUCCACUUUUCUACUCUUGUGUCCUGUCUGCACGCCUCACCUCCGUUUUGCAUAACGAGUGCAUCAAACCACAUGUUAAUAGCGUAGGCGUUUUAUUAACUGUGCAAUAUUUUCAACACUUCCUUGCAUGCCAUUUCAUGUGGAAUAUCUCUUCUGGUCACAAAUUUGUGUAGCGAAUCUAUUUGCAUGAUCGACUCCGGGCCUGUGGGACCGUUCACUUGCACUUGAUGCUGAGUCUUUUACAUGUAUCCAUAAACUGCAGAUAUGCACAUCAGAUCCCUGCGAGCAUUUUCAAAAUUAAAUUAUUUUAGACAACAGGCACAUAUGCAAUACUGACAUAAUCUCAUAUACCACUAAGCAGCUGGGACACAUUUUUGUUGACCAUACUCGCAGGUAGAAUAAGUAGAUCGUGUGGACAGCUCCAGCUCAUUUUCCUUUAAUCAGUGUGUACAAGGGGUAUGCAAAAAUAAUUUUUUUCUCGCGCACCGAUUAUUUUGCUGUAUAAGCAAGAGAACCCACCACGUUAGUGUAACGUAUCUCGUACAUCACACUAAUAUGUGCUUUAAUUUACCAAGUGAGAUGAGUUACUUUUAUGGCUCAUUCAGUCAUAUCACACUGCAAGCUGCAUUCAUCAAUCUUCAAUUGGAUUUUGCAAAUGUUUAAUGAAACAUGUUUCCCUUCUAUGCAGAUAUGCAAUGGCAAGCCCUUCCGUGUGUUCCAAAGACAAUGCCUACGCCUAGCCACAGCAGCUCCCUCAUACAGACUCCGCAAGCCAAGAGGCCGUGGAGGCAAAUGCAGGCAGCCAGCACACCUCGAACAGCCACCUUGACUGCGGGUGUGUCACCCUAGUCGCCAAGGAAACAUUUGAGGGAAAGCGACAGGCAAUGUGAACAGCCACUUCUCCAUGCAAACGAUACUCUUUCUCUCGGAUGACUCCUACGCCUCGCCACGCCAGCACUCUUGUGCACAAAGAUGCCGCGGAGGCACGUGCAAGUCAGAGGCAAGAAGCAGUGGCACUGGUGUCGACAUUCACCCAAUUUCUUUUUCUUACACUGAGGCAGCCAGCACACCUCGAACAGCCACCUUGACUGCGGGUGUGUCAGUAGAUUCCUGUUGUACAUAUGCUCAUAAUAAACUUCAGUAAACUUGAACUCGAUAAUAAACUUG
Molecule: long non-coding RNA, 1582 nt
Filed under: Dermacentor andersoni
Lineage: Eukaryota; Metazoa; Arthropoda; Arachnida; Ixodida; Ixodidae
Description: uncharacterized LOC126529264
Source: RNAcentral